GACGAACGCUGGCGGCGUGCUUAACACAUGCAAGUCGAACGGAAAGGCCCUGCUUGCGGGGUACUCGCGUGGGGAACGGGUGAGUAACACGCGGGUGAUCUGCCCUCCACUUCGGGAUAAGCCUGGGGGACAGGGUGUAAUACCGGAUAGGAGCCAUUUUUAGUGUGAUGGUUGGAUAGUUUUUUCCGUGUGGGAUGAGCUCGCGGCCUGUUAGCUUGCUGGUGGGGUAAUGGGCUACCAAGGCGGCGGAGGGUAGCCGGCCUGCGGGGGUGGACGGCCACAAUGGGGCCUAGGGAAGGCCCAGGCUCCUAAGGGGGGGCGCAGGGGGGAAGAUUGCACAAGUGGCGCAAGCCGGGUGCAGCGACGCCGCGGGGGGGAAGACGGGCUUCGGGGUGGAAAACCGUUUCGCUAGGUACGAAGCUUUUUGUGACGGUACCUAGAUAAGAAGCACCGGCUAACUACGUG
Molecule: ribosomal RNA, 465 nt
Filed under: uncultured bacterium
Lineage: Bacteria
Description: partial 16S ribosomal RNA
Rfam family: Bacterial small subunit ribosomal RNA
Source: RNAcentral